Molecule: ribosomal RNA, 373 nt
Filed under: uncultured organism
Description: bacterial SSU rRNA
Rfam family: Bacterial small subunit ribosomal RNA
Source: RNAcentral
CGGGGGGGGGCAAGCGUUGUUCGGAAUUACUGGGCGUAAAGGGCUUGUAGGUGGCCAACUAAGUCAAACGUGAAAUCCCUCAGCUUAACUGGGGAACUGCGUCUGAUACUGGAUGGCUUGAGUUUGGGAGAGGGAUGCGGAAUUCCAGGUGUAGCGGUGAAAUGCGUAGAUAUCUGGAGGAACACCGGUGGCGAAGGCGGCAUCCUGGACCAAUACUGACACUGAAAAGCGAAAGCCAGGGGAGCAAACGGGAUUAGAUACCCCGGUAGUCCUGGCCCUAAACGAUGAAUGCUUGGUGUGGCGGGUAUCGAUCCCUGCCGUGCCGAAGCUAACGCAUUAAGCAUUCCGCCUGGGGAGUACGGUCGCAAGGCUG